Vigna unguiculata (cowpea) is the source of this 6953-nucleotide long non-coding RNA. The record is from RefSeq and is a predicted model, not a curated record. Lineage: Eukaryota; Viridiplantae; Streptophyta; Magnoliopsida; Fabales; Fabaceae.
GGGGGUUUAUACGGUGAGUGGCAGGUUAAACGUUUCACUUACACUACUUUCAUCUCAUCUUUCAGCCUUCCCUCUUGCCUUUCCCUCUUCUCGCGCCCCUCUUCUGGUGUCUUUUGUCAUUUAUCGUCUCUCGCUCAUUGAUUUUCGUUGGCGAAUACGAAUCGAUGUCGGAGCUUAUGUGAUGUUAGCAAGGGAAGUCGCGAAGUCGAUGAGAAAUUCGCCCAACCUAGUGAAAACCCUAAUCCUUUGCUUUUUGGAUGGAUGCCCAUAACUGGUUUGAGCGCCAGCAAUGGAGAAGGAGAUGUGGCAGAUUGAAAACGCAAAGAGAACUAAAGGAGGGGGUUGCAGUUACGGUGAGAUCAACGGUUGCAGUUAUCGCAAAUCCCCGCGUGAGAUUCAGGAGCAGGGCCUUGAAGGACAUUAAAUUCUCCAACUGGUUCGAGGAGCCAAACCUCAGGUUCAUGGAUCACCUUCGUCCUCUCUUCCCUCAUAUGGAUGAUCAGAUCCUCGAGAAAGCCCUCCAAGAAAUUGGUAAUGACCUAGAUGCUACCGGCGUUGAUGAUGCCAGAGCUUGAGCUGGUAAAUUACUAGAGGUUUUAGAGAAAUCUCUUAGUGCACAUGCCACUUCUUGGGGCAACAAUUGCCCUUCAAAGGGAAAAUUUGAUGCUGAAGGAGAAAAUUGAAGCCCUUACUAAGGAGAACAAUUGUUUUAAAAAUGCUUUUAAAAUCCAGCUUGAACGUCUUUCCGAUUACGAUAGUAAAAACCAAGAGUUGCAGCAGUUGAAGCAGUUGGUGUCUCAAUAUCAGAAGCAAAUCUCUAAUGUCCAAGUUUAUUACUCUGCAUCAUUAUUUUUUUUACCAUAGCAUAUCAUGCAUCUAGAUUGAAUUAUAUUUAGAUAAUGCUGCAUAUUUCCUAUUACAUUGUCCCCACUAGCAUUGCAUCUGAACAUGAGCUUAGUGCACUUUGGUUUUGUUGAAUAAGUCUCUGCUGCAUGUUAGAAUAACUUCAAAUGACAUUCUACAGUUUUGCUGUCACAUUUGUACAACCAUAGUCUAAGUCUUUGCUGUUAUAUAAAUUUUGGAUUCAAAUGACAUGUUUUGAAUGAUUUGCAGGUCUGAAUUCAUGUGACUAGUAUGUAGGUGAGUGACAAAUUACUCCACACCACGAUCUUAUAAUUAGCAUGCUUUCUAUUUGUUGUUAACUUAAUUAUUUUUUGGCAAGGCCUUGUAGAGUUGAACUAUAGAAAUGUAGGUGAGUGACGGAAGGAGCCAGAAGAGGAAUUAGAGCUUAAAGUGUUGCGUUUGAGUAACUUGUUUAUAUUCUAUAAGCUAGGAUUAGUUGUUUAUUAAAGGCAUGCAGUAGUGUUUAAUGAAUUUUUGUUAGUAUUGUUUAUUUUUUUCAUGUGUUAGUGUAUUUUAUAAAGUAUAUGAUUAAACUUUUCUUUGAUGCAGUAGUAUAGUGUAUUUCAUGUGUUAGUAUAGAAAUAUAUGCUAGAAUUAUGUGUAUUGUUAUGCUAUUUAAUUUUUCUCUGAUGCAUGAUUCAAUGAGUAAAAUGUGCCCUUUCUUUAAUGUUUAUUGUUGGAGAUGUUUCAUGUCCCUUCAUUCAGUGCGGUAUUCAAUCACUGAAUGACUUUUUUUCAACUUCUGUACUCUUCUUCUCAUUAAGGCUGUAGUUGUGGUUGUAGGUGGAAUGGAUAAAUAAAGAUGCUGCAAAAAGAUAAAAUAAAAUGUUUUUUAUUUUUACCAAUUGUUGCUUAGUGAAAUCACUUUCAUACUGUAAGAGUAGCUAACAUUUUAUGGCAGUGUAAAUCAAUUUUGCUCCUCCUUUCUUUCUUUCUUCUUUCUCCCUUGUAUUUUUGUUUCAUCACUAAGUUUAAAAUGAGGUCAAUUUAAAAUUUCCACUUCCCCAUUUUCCAUCUAGUGAAAAGACGUAACAAAAGUUAUAAUUUUUAGGCUAUCACCUUUUACAUGAAAUGCUUUUUGAGAAGGGAAGACUAUUCUUUUGUAUGUGUUUUGCAUUCAAGUUUCCAUUCUCUCUUUAUUGGGUCCACAGAGUCGGUAGGAGGUUUGGUGGGCUGUAUUUUAUCUAAUAACUGAUAGAUUGUCAGGUCCAUAAAUGAGCUAUAAUCAUAGAAAAUUUCUUCAGGCAAGGAAUAAAUGUACAACAGACACUACUAAUAAUCAAAAGAGUGUAAAUCAUGGAAUCAAUAUAUAAAUACACAAAAACGCAUAAUUUAAAUAACAUCCAAGUGGCACACAUAGGACUCGAACCCAAGUCCUCACACAUAAUAAAGUACUCUCAAUCACUUGAGCUAGUACUUUUUCACGUCAUAGUUUCUCACCUUAAUUGCUUUAAAUAUUCUUAUUACUCGUCAUAAUUAAAUAACUAUUUAAUUUUCUCGGGUCUUACACCUAACACUUCGCCUUGGGGAACACCAAUGUUAUUGGUGAAGAAGAAGGAUGGAAGUUCACGUCUGUGUGUGGACUACCGACAGUUAAACAAAAUGACGAUCAAGAAUAAGUACCCCCUUCCGAGGAUAGACGACUUGAUGGAUCAGUUGCAUGGGUCAUCAAUGUUCUUGACGAUAGAUCUGCGAUCGGGUUAUCAUCAGAUCUUGGUAAAGGCUGAUGAUGUUUAGAAGACGGCCUUCAGGUCCAGGUAUGGCCACUACAGUAUGUGGUUAUGCCUUUUGGGGUGACCAACGCUCCGGCGGUGUUCAUGGACUACAUGAACAGGAUCUUCCGACCUUUCCUAGAUAAGUUUGUCGUAGUCUUCAUAGACGACAUCUUUAUCUAUUCCAGGACUCAGGAGGAACAUGCAGAACACCUGAGGUUGGUGCUUGGUGUUAUGAGAGAGAAGCAAUUGUACGCCAAGUUGUCCAAGUGUGAAUUCUGGAUGGGUGAAGUUCAGUGGACCCAGCGAAGGUCGAAGCAGUGGUAAUGUGGGAAAGCCCUAAGUCUGCCACAGAGAUCAGGAUUUUUGUGGGGUUGGCGGGCUACUAUAGGAGAUUCAUAGAGGGAUUCUCCAAGAUAGUGGCACCCCUAACACUUCUUACUCGGAAGGACCAACCUUUCACUUGGACAGACAAGUGUGAGGAGAGUUUCCAGGAGCUUAAGAGAAGGUUGACCAGCGCGCUAAUACUAGUAAUUCCAGACGUGGGGAAAUCUUUUGAGGUCUAUUGUGAUGCCUCUCACCUUGGGCUCGGCUGUGUGUUAAUGCAAGAGAAGAAGGCAGUAGCAUAUGCUUUGAGACAACUUAAGGUGCAUGAGUGUAACUAUCCCACUCAUGACCUGGAGUUGGCCGCUAUAGUUUUUGCCUUUAAAGAUUUGGAGGCAUUAUCUUUAUGGUGCACAGUUCCGGGUGUUCAACGAUGAUAAGAGCCUCAAGUAUCUAUUCGAUCAAAAGAGCUGAAUAUGAGGCAAAGGAGGUGGAUGGAGUUCCUUAAAGACUAUGACUUCGAAUUGUUGUAUCAUCCAGGGAAGCCAAACGUGGUAGCAGAUGCCCUGAGUAGGAAAAAUGUACAUACGGCACAUCUCAUGAUUAAGGAGGUGGAAUUACUGGAGAAAUUCAGAGACAUGAGGCUACAGGUAGAGUUGGGGUCUGAGGCCAUUAGGUGUAGCACCCUUACUAUAUCUAGUGACUUCUUGGACUCAGUCAGGGAGAGACAGUUAUUGGAUGCCAAUUUGAACAGGGUUAGAGAACAACUUUGAUCAGAUGAAGCCAGAGACUUUGCUUUAGGUGAUGAUGGCAUAUUGAGGUUCCAGGGCAGAGUAUGUAUACCUGAUGAUACAGGGGUAAAACGGUUAAUUCUUGAGGAAGGACAUAAGAGUCGUCUUAACUUAUAUCCGGGCAUGACGAAGAUGUACCAGGACCUCAAAGAAAAUUUCUGGUGGCAGGAUAUGAAGAAAGAAGUAGCACAGUUCGUGUCGGCCUGUCUGACCUGUCAGAAGGCAAAGGUAGAGCAUCAGAGACCCGGUGGAAUUACACAACCUUUAGAGGUACUAGUGUGGAAAUGAGAUAGCAUCUCGAUGGACUUCGUGACCCAUCUACCACUAACUUUUAGGGGGCAUCACACCAUCUGGGUCAUAGUGGACCAACUGACCAAGAGUGCGCAUUUCUUAGCAAUGAACCUGAGGAUGUCUAUGGUUAAAUUGGCUCAGUUGUACAUCAAGGAGAUCGUGAGGUUGCAUGGGGUGCCUUCGAGCAUUGUAUCAGAUAGAGAUCCACGGUUCACAUCACGGUUUUGGCAAACCUUGUAGGGUGCUUUGGGAAGCAAACUCGCGAUGAGUUCAGCCUAUAAUCCUCAGACAGAUGGUCAGUCUGAGAGGAUGACCCAGUCACUCGAGAACUUACUGCGGACAUGUAUACUGGAUCACUUGGGUGCUUGGGAUGAAGUGUUACCGUUGAUUGAGUUCACCUACAACAAUAGUUUCCAUGCAAGCAUUGGGAUGGCACUGUAUGAGGCUCUUUAUGGUCGGAGGUGCAGGACUCCCUUGUGUUGGUAUCAGGAUGGGGAGGCAGUGUUAGUUGGGCCAGAAUUGUUGGAACAGACCACUGAGAAGGUGAGGUUGGUGAGGAAUAGGAUGUAGGCUUCACAGAACAGACAAAAGGCUUUUGCAGACUACAGGAGAAGACCCUUGGAAUUCGAGGCAGGAGAUCACAUGUUCUUGAGGGUGACCCGAACCACUAGUUUGGGAAGGGCUCUCUAUUCAAGAAAGCUUUCUCCUAAGUUCCUUGGUUCCUAUCAAAUCUCGAGGAGGAUUGGGCCGGUGGCUUAUGAGAUAGCCUUGUCCCCUCAGUUGGCCAAUCUUCACCCUGUGUUCCACGUGUCGCAAUUGAGAAAGUAUGUCUUUGAUUCCUCUCAUGUGCUAGAAUCAGAGGAUGUACAGAUCCGGGAGGAUCUUACUGUGGAGGUACCACUAGUGGCUUUAGAGGGUAGCAAAGUUGAGGAACGCCGAGGAAAAACAGUCAGCCUGGUCAAAGUCAUAUGGGAUCGGAGAACAGGUGACUCGACUUGGGAAUUGGAAGAGAAUAUGAGGAAGUCACAUUCGCAUUUGUUUCCCUGGUAAGUUUGUAUUUUCGAGGACGAAAAUUUUGUUUUUGGGGAGAAUGUAAGGCCCAGUUUUCUGCCUUAAUGUUUUAAGGGCUGCCCUUAGCCUAAUGGGCCUAAGAGCUGGCCCAAGGAGUAAAAACAGAUCCCAUCUGCCCUAACGUUACCAUUUCCCUCACUUUCAGAAACAAUGCCUCUUUGCUUGCUUGAGCAGCUACGACGCUCUGCUAGGGUUUUGCCGCCAACAUUCUUCGAGCUAGCUCAAGCCAGAUUUCCACCCACGUAAGUCAACUUCGAACUCGUACGUCACCACUGGGCAAACUUUUACCGUUAGGGUUUGGUAGUAACUCAUGCUUAUUCUUUCUUACCGUUUGUUUCCAGCUCUUUGGCCACCUUAGGACAGUCGUGCUCGCUGUGUUCAUAUUUAGGGUUUUUCCGCUGAGCUCUUUUAGGUAAGGGAAGCUAGACCUUACUGUAUUUCUCGUGGGGUCUGCCUAUUUUACGAGCUCUUGAUGAUUUUAUUGUCUGUGUGAGAAUAUGAGUGUUUGAGAAUGCAUAUUUGAACUAUUUGGAUGUGUGUGGGUGGCUGUUGCACGAGAAAGUAGUGGCAAGUGCUGGUUUUCUCGCCCAAGCGAGCUAGUCUCGCCUGAGCGAGACUAUCAGAGGCUCGCCCAAGACUUUGUCACUCCAAUUGUCGCCUAGGCGACUUGUGUUCUUUUAGAGCAAGGUGUGCCCUCGCCUAGGUGAGAAGGGACUCGCCUGAGCGAGACCUCGCUGAGUCACAUGUUCCCUUGUCGCGCUCUCGCCUAGGCGAGAUUGGAUCCGCCUGAGCGAGAGGGUCCCCUUCGCCUGAGCAAGCCAUGUUAGCUUGGGCGAGGCAGCGGGCAGGUUUUGCUGUUGCUGUUGAGUGGUUCACUGAAGUAUGGUUUGUUAUCUGACCCAAGACUUUACUAGAAGGGUUGCGUGAUGAUGGCAUGAUUAAUAUGUUAUAUUUGAAAUGAAAAUGGCAUGUUGGUUGAUUGGGUAUGAAUUGAAAAGUAUGAGUUGUAUGAAUUGUUGAUUUUACAUGAUAUGCAUGUUAUGAGGAAUUCUUGAUUGGUGGAUGGGACAUGAUUAAAGUAUGGGUAGGGCAUAAUUCCAUGACUCUUGUAGUAAGAGAUCUUGGUGGCGCCUCAUUGGUUAGACGUAAUUUCAUGGACCCUCUUAAGGGGGAGUCCCUGGUGGUGCCUUGACAAAAAGGACGUAAUUCCACGGGGGUCGUGGUGGUGCCUCAGGGCCAGGGCGUAAUUUCACGAAGGCCACGUUGUGGUGCCUCCCGUAAGGGUAUAAUUCGUGAAGGCCUCGCGGUGGCGCCUCAUUGCUAGGACCUAAUUCCACUGCCACGUGGUGGUGCCUCAAUUACAUAUCCGGAUAGUUAAAUCUUAGGGUUUUAUAUGGAUGGGUAUUUCACAUGGGUGUCUGUUAUGUAAGUUUGAAUAUGAAUGGUAUGUUGAGUGCCUGUAUGAUGACUUUUUGCUAGCUUACCCUUUUUUUUGCUUGUGUGUUAUGCGUGGUCUCUUUCUUUGCAAUGAUCAUCAACUUGGUUGAUGUGAGCAGAUGUGAGAACCCCUGGCAGUGGUGAUGGUAAUAGGAAUGCUGCAGCUUGACGGAUUGGACAGGUGUUGGGCCCACUGUGGGGCCUAUUACUGGAGGAUUUUAUUAUUUAUGUUUUCUUGUCCGAACAAGACCUAAUAUCUGUAUCUGUGUUAUUUUCUGUACAUUUCUGGUUGGGCCAUGUGGGGCCCUUUACUUGUAAUCCGGGUAUAUUUGAUGUAUUGUAUACCUUCUUUCCCUAAAUUCCGUACUCUCUGAAUGUUUAUGUAUGUGAUGUUUUAUUAAUUGAGGUUAUUCAGUUUUUGGGA